This 492-nucleotide ribosomal RNA is filed under the name uncultured bacterium. RNAcentral describes it as "partial 16S ribosomal RNA". It matches the Rfam family "Bacterial small subunit ribosomal RNA", at positions 30 to 507 of the family's 1533-position model. The record is from RNAcentral.
AUUGAACGCUGGCGGUAGGCCUAACACAUGCAAGUCGAACGGCAGCACAGUAAGAGCUUGCUCUUACGGGUGGCGAGUGGCGGACGGGUGAGGAAUACAUCGGAAUCUACUUUUUCGUGGGGGAGAACGUAGGGAAACUUACGCUAAUACCGCAUACGACCUACGGGUGAAAGCAGGGGAUCUUCGGACCUCGCGCGAUUGAAUGAGCCGAUGUCGGAUUAGCUAGUUGGCGGGGUAAAGGCCCACCAAGGCGACGAUCCGUAGCUGGUCUGAGAGGAUGAUCAGCCACACUGGAACUGAGACACGGUCCAGACUCCUACGGGAGGCAGCAGUGGGGAAUAUUGGACAAUGGGCGAAAGCCUGAUCCAGCCAUACCGCGUGUGUGAAGAAGGCCUUCGGGUUGUAAAGCCCUUUUGUUGGGAAAGAAAAGCAGCAGGUUAAUACCCCGCUGUUCUGACGGUACCCAAAGAAUAAGCACCGGCUAACUUCGUG